Molecule: long non-coding RNA, 800 nt
Filed under: Homo sapiens (human)
Lineage: Eukaryota; Metazoa; Chordata; Mammalia; Primates; Hominidae
Description: HSALNT0285222
Source: RNAcentral
AUUUCUCUAAGCAUCAGAAGGAUCUUGAGUGAAUCAAUAUAUAUUCCUUCUCCCCACAAUGCCUGGGGCCUCUCUGGAUGUCACGUAUCCCUCUUCACUCACUACUUUUCCCCCUCCAGCACCUGGACGCUCCCACUCUAACCCAUUCGGAAAGCUGUCCACUAUAAGAAGCCCCAGAGCGAGAGCUUGACAGCCAGGCAGAUUAUGGCCAGGGGCUGAGGAGAGGGAGCCAAAGCUACACUUACUGCAUCUGUUUCUCCAACUGCCACCUGCUCAGAAAAUCGAACCUUCACAGGAUUGGACCUCAACUUGGCCUUCUUCGCAGCACUGAUGAAAGCAGAUUUGGGGGACUGGAAAAAGAACAGAGAGAUGCUGUUUGGAGAAAGAGGCAAAGAAUAAUGAAGUAAGCCUGCAUAAGGAGAUAAUUCAAACACUGUAUCACUCUGUCACCCAGGCUGAGUGCAGUGGUACAAUCUUGGCUCACUGCAACCUCCGCUUCCUGGGUUCAAGUCAUUCUCCUCCCUCAGCCUCCUGAGUAGCCGGGAUUACAGGUGCAUCAUUCCUCACCUGGAAGAGGAAGUAACAGAGCCAUUGGCUGUGUGGGGCAUGAAGCCCCAAGCUCUGAUGCUGAAACAUGCACCCCUCUACCCUAGGCCAUGGUGGAGGGUGCGGAAGAUACAGCCUGGAUGAUGUACAGUUCAUCUCCCCUUCCUCUACUAAUUAGUGUUUGUUGAGCCCCUGCAAUGUGUGUCUGGAUCAGGCCUGGAGGAUACCUUGAUGAAAGAGGCCCCUGAAGAGUU